AUUUAGAAACCCUGGAUUUAAGUGGGAAUCGCCUUGGCGAAGACGGAUAUUGGUUGCAUGUAGUUAACAGGCUCCCUUAUCUAACAAACUUGCAUCUAAGCUCCUGUGACCUUGCAAAUAUCAUUCCGAUGUCUAAUUCCCUUGCAAAUUCUUCCACUUCUCUUGCAGUCCUUGAUCUCUCUUCCAACUAUUUCUCUUAUCCAGUAUUCCAGUGGGUUUUUAACUUGAAUAGCAGCCUUGUUGAUAUUAAUCUCAGUGAUAAUCAUUUGGAAGGCUUCGUUCCAUAUGCAUUUCAGUACAUGGCUUCUCUUAAAAAUCUUAAUCUUUCCUUUAAUGAACUUAAAGGAACAAUUCCAAACUUUUUUGGAAAUUUCUGUAGUUUGCAUACGCUAGAUCUUGCU
Molecule: unclassified non-coding RNA, 401 nt
Filed under: Hevea brasiliensis (rubber tree)
Lineage: Eukaryota; Viridiplantae; Streptophyta; Magnoliopsida; Malpighiales; Euphorbiaceae
Source: RNAcentral